AUGGAAAAAAAGGAACUUGCCCGUAUGGUGUUCACUAAAAAGAAGAAUCUGCUAAAAGAUUGGAUGUGGGCUGUACAUGGAAAAGAACUUGUUCCUGGGAUUCAGAAGGGAGGACGUGCCAUGGAACUUCGAGAUGGCGGAGAACCAUGUGUACCUCCAUGUCAUGCUUUGGCAGAAGCCGGAUGCCGACGAGUCAGAACGCCUGCUGAAGAAGCCACUCUGCUCACCAUUGGUAUGACAGACUUGUCGCUCCUUAGAUCAUGUAUGUAUCAUCUGCUUCUAUGGAGAGCCUAUGGCCUAUGUGAAUAA
RNAcentral lists this ribosomal RNA (309 nucleotides) under Triticum aestivum (bread wheat). RNAcentral's name for it is "partial small subunit ribosomal RNA". The record is from RNAcentral. Lineage: Eukaryota; Viridiplantae; Streptophyta; Magnoliopsida; Poales; Poaceae.